Sander lucioperca (pikeperch) is the source of this 263-nucleotide long non-coding RNA. RefSeq lists it as uncharacterized. The transcript is spliced from 3 exons. The record is from RefSeq and is a predicted model, not a curated record. Lineage: Eukaryota; Metazoa; Chordata; Actinopteri; Perciformes; Percidae.
UAAAUUGCUCGUGCAUCAAUUACAAAACUGCAUUCAUGGAUUAGUCUGUUGACAAAAAAUCUGCAGCUAUUUAUAUAAAGUCGUUUAAGUAAUUUUGUAAGCUAAAGUGCCACAAAUUCAAUGGUUCUGACCUCUCGUGUUUUUUUUUUAACCAUUUUUUUACAAAUGCCCUCUUAUGCUGCUAUACACAAAUUACAAAAUGGCAAUAAAACAAGGCCCGACAUUGUUCUAAGGAAAAAGGGCAACCCUAAUCAACAUUACAU